GGUUCUUCCGCAAUGCUAGUAGGUGAACCCCGCCAGGUCCGGAAGGAAGCAACGGUAGCUUAUGAUGCAUGUGCCGGAAUGUAGCUG
RNAcentral lists this signal recognition particle RNA (87 nucleotides) under marine eukaryotic metagenome. RNAcentral describes it as "Bacterial small signal recognition particle RNA". It matches the Rfam family "Bacterial small signal recognition particle RNA". Rfam says of the family: The signal recognition particle (SRP) is a universally conserved ribonucleoprotein involved in the co-translational targeting of proteins to membranes. Archaeal SRP consists of a 7S RNA and homologues of the eukaryotic SRP19 and SRP54 proteins. The record is from RNAcentral.